GACGGAGUGGGUGCCUGGUUUUUAUCUGUGGCAGUGUCUGCAUUCAGAUCUUUCUUUUCACACACACUGUGUGGUAGACGAGAUCGUAAUCCUGGUCUGGUGUUGUGUUUGGAUGUAACCACCGCUGGCCAGCCUCCAGGCUCCCGUACCCAU
Small nucleolar RNA from Ochotona princeps (American pika), 153 nucleotides. RefSeq annotates it as small nucleolar RNA SNORA23. Lineage: Eukaryota; Metazoa; Chordata; Mammalia; Lagomorpha; Ochotonidae. The transcript has a single exon. The record is from RefSeq and is a predicted model, not a curated record.